UGCAAUCCAAUACAUGCAUUCUACCAAACAGUUUUAGACUUUCACUGCACUCAAUAAGUGAUUUAGGAUUAGUUUGUCAGAAUGAGAGUGCAUGAUAUAGUCGAUACACAAAUAUAGAAGGCAAUCUAGAAAUAAGAAGACCUACUUGUGUACUGUCAUCCCUAGACAUUGCUUCUCUGGCCAUUGUCCCAAAAGAGCAUGAAGUAGGAAAUAAGAACAAGCAUAAAGUGAAUGGAAAAGAAUAUAAACUUUAUGCAGUUAGAACACAAGUAUAUCAAAUUUGGAUAAAAAGCAGGUGCAAUAGACAUGGAAACAACAAGAGAAUGAAAGACAUCACUUGAAUCAUGACAUCUAUCGGUUUGGCAGGCAAAUAAGCAAAGAGUAGUGAUGCUAGUAAGUCUGAACUAUAAACUACCUGUUUACUGCAUCUGCGAAAUGACAAGCAUUAAUAUUCUUUUAGUUAUAGAAUGGCUUUUUUGUU
This 481-nucleotide long non-coding RNA is filed under the name Sorghum bicolor (sorghum). Its description in RNAcentral is "long non-coding RNA (SBIC_LNC002339)". Lineage: Eukaryota; Viridiplantae; Streptophyta; Magnoliopsida; Poales; Poaceae. The record is from RNAcentral.